Molecule: long non-coding RNA, 844 nt
Organism: Cydia amplana
Lineage: Eukaryota; Metazoa; Arthropoda; Insecta; Lepidoptera; Tortricidae
Exons: 2
Source: RefSeq, a predicted model, not a curated record
AGCGGCCAAGUGCGAGUCGGACUCGCCCAUGAAGGGUUCCGUAUUUAGGCGAUUUAUGACGUAUUAAAAAAAACUACUUACUAGAUCUCGUUCAAACCAAUUUUUGGUGGAAGUUUGCAUGGUAAUGUACAUCAUAUAUUUUUUUUAGUUUUAUCAUUCUCUUAUUUUAGAAGUUACGGGGGGGGGGGGGAGGACACAUUUUACCACUUUGGAAGCGUCUCUCGCGCAAACUAUUCAGUUUAGAAAAAAAUGAUAUUAGAAACCUCAAUAUCAUUUUUGAAGACCUAUCCAUAGAUACCCCACACGUAUGGGUUUGAUGAAAAUUUUUUUUUCGAGUUUCAGUUGGGAUUUAUAUAAAAAAAAACUACUUACUAGAUCUCGUUCAAACCAAUUUUCGGUGGAAGUUUGCAUGGUAAUGUACAUCAUAUAUUUUUUUUAGUUUUAUCAUUCUCUUAUUUUACAAGUUACAGGGGGGGGGACACAUUUUACCACUUUGGAAGUGUCUCUCGCGCAUACUAUUCAGUUUAGAAAAAAAUGACAUUAGAAACCUCAAUAUCAUUUUUGAAGACCUAUCCAUAAAUAUCCCAUACGUAUGGGUUUGAUGAAAAAAAAAAUUUGAGUUUCAGUUCUAAGUAUGGGGAGCCCCCAAAAUUUAUUGUUUUUUUGUCUAUUUUUGUGUGAAAAUCAUAAUGCGGUUCACAUAAUACAUCUACUUACCAAGUUUCAACAGUAUAGUUCUUAUAGUUUCGGAAAAAAAUGGCUGUGACAUACACGGACAGACAGACAGACAUGACGAAUCCAUAAUGGUUCCGUUUUUUGCCAUUUGGCUACGGAACCCUAAAAA